GAAUGAACGUUGGCGGCGUGGAUUAGGCAUGCAAGUCGAGCGCUCAUAGCAAUAUGGGAGCGGCGAACGGCGUAGGAAUUCAUAGGAACGUACCCUCAGGACGGGGAUAGCUACGGGAAACUGUAGGUAAUACCCGAUGAUCUCCGCGGAGCAAAGGUGUGAUUCCGCCUGAGGAGCGGCUUAUGCGAUAUUAGCUAGUUGGUGGGGUAAUGGCCUACCAAGGCGAAGAUGUCUAGGGGGUGUGAGAGCAUGGCCCCCACGACCGGAACUGAGAUACUGUCCGGACACCUACGGGUGGCUGCAGUCGAGAAUCUUCCGCAAUGGACGACAGUCUGACGGAGCGACGCCGCGUGCGGGAUGAAGGCCCUUGGGUUGUAAACCGCUUUCGGAGGGGAUGAAAUCCUCGAGGGUUCUCCCUCGAGGUUGACAGAGCCUCAAAAGAAGCACGGGCUAAGUACGUGCCAGCAGCCGCGGUAACACGUACUGUGCGAACGUUAUUCGGAAUCACUGGGCUUAAAGGGUGCGUAGGCGGCGAUUCAAGUCAGAUGUGAAAUGCCUGAGCUCAACUGAGGCAUUGCGUUUGAAACUGAAUUGCUAGAGUAUUUCAGGGGUGUGCGGAACUGCCAGUGGAGCGGUGAAAUGUGUUGAUAUUGGCAGGAACACCGGAGGCGAAAGCGGCACACUGGGGAAUAACUGACGCUGAGGCACGAAAGCCAGGGGAGCGAACGGGAUUAGAUACCCCGGUAGUCCUGGCUGUAAACGAUGAGCACUGGGCGGGAGGGGGUUUCCCUUUUCUGCCGUAGCGAAAG
RNAcentral lists this ribosomal RNA (809 nucleotides) under uncultured bacterium. Its description in RNAcentral is "bacterial SSU rRNA". It matches the Rfam family "Bacterial small subunit ribosomal RNA", at positions 27 to 857 of the family's 1533-position model. The record is from RNAcentral.